GAGGAUACAGCUCAGUUGGUAGAGCAUUUGCCUCGCUUGCACAAGUCCCUGGGUUCAACCCCCAGCACCACA
Molecule: transfer RNA, 72 nt
Filed under: Marmota monax (woodchuck)
Lineage: Eukaryota; Metazoa; Chordata; Mammalia; Rodentia; Sciuridae
Description: tRNA.Ala
Rfam family: tRNA (bases 9-65)
About the family: Transfer RNA (tRNA) molecules are approximately 80 nucleotides in length.
Source: RNAcentral